GGCUACCAAACAGCAGAAAAGUGACCUUUAGUAGUCCACAGUCAUCGGUGCCACAAGAUCUCAAAGUCUGAACCAAGAUCUGAUGGUUCUGAGUGAUGUAUCCAUCAAUCAAAUCAGAAGGUUGGACUCAGGUUUUCGGGGGCUGCUGUGUUUUCCCAUGAAACACUCACAGCCAUACUCGGAAUGUCUUGAUGAGAACGACAAGAGCAGUCAUCCACAAAGACCCAUGCACUCAGGCUUUCUGAAAGUUAUUUCUCCACUGACUAAACGACUAGGACGUGGCUGAUAGUCUGCUACAUCUUCAGAAACAGUGAUUCUAACAUCUCCAGGACUGAGGACCAUGGCCUAAACAAAGCAGACAGGAAACACUAACAAGCUGCAACCAACUAAUAUGACAUCUGAUUAGGCCAGAAGUGAUAGGAUAGGACUCCAGGGUACCAGUGAGGCUAAAGAAGGCCACCUUUUCAUGAAGGGACAGGAAAGAGGUAGGUAUGGCUAAGUCAGUACUGAGUAGAAAAAGUAACUACUCAGCUCCACUUCCGCACUUAAGAACUUGUCUCCAACUCAAUGACAAGUCAAUCCACACUGCCACCAGCACUCAAAAGUUUCUACACAGUAAAAGGACCAUCCAAGUCACUUCAUAUAUUCACUUAUUCCUAGCAAGGAAAUAAAAUUAACAGUACACGUUGGACUUUUCAUCAUCGUGACAAACACCACACACAAACAAAACAUAGCUCAGCUUCCGAAGUUGGAUCCACUAUGGCUAGGAAAGCAUGCGCGGCAAGGAGCUCACCCAGGAAUCAAAGAAGGAAUAGACUGGGAAGUAGGCUUCAACAGUGUGUCCCAGUGACCUACCCUCCAACGAGGCCCCAUUUCCUAAGUUUCCACCACCUCUCAAAACUGUACCUCCAGCUGGAGGCCAAGUAUUCAUUCAACUCAUAAACCUGCAGGGGACAUUUUAUAUUCACAUAGUAACAAA
Molecule: long non-coding RNA, 979 nt
Organism: Peromyscus eremicus (cactus mouse)
Lineage: Eukaryota; Metazoa; Chordata; Mammalia; Rodentia; Cricetidae
Exons: 3
Source: RefSeq, a predicted model, not a curated record